UACUAGAGUAGCACUCGCAUAUCAAUAAGCGGAGGAAAAGAAACUAACAAGGAUUCCCCUAGUAACGGCGAGUGAAGCGGGAAGAGCUCAAAUUUGAAAUCUUAAAGGGUUUCCCUUUACGAAUUGUAGCUUAAAGAAGUGUUUUCUGUUGAGGUUUUGGUAAAAGUUCUUUGGAAUAGGACAUCAUAGAGGGUGAGAAUCCCGUAUUUGACCUUUACUUUCAACUUUGUGAUACACUUUCAAAGAGUCGGAUUGUUUGGGAAUGCAGUCCAAAAUGAGUGGUAAAUUUCAUCUAAAGCUAAAUAUUGGCGAGAGACCGAUAGCGAACAAGUACCGUGAGGGAAAGAUGAAAAGAACUUUGAAAAGAGAGUUAAACAGUACGUGAAAUUGUCAAAAGGGAAGCGUUUGACACCAGUGUUGUUUUUCUGAAAAUCAAUUAAAGAACUGUUUAUGCUAAGUUGUUUAGACUUUAUCAGCUAUCUGUUUAGUUUUGAGCUUUUCUUUAAUGCACUUUUCAGUUAACAAGUCAACAUCAAUUUCUUUUGCUGUAAAAAAGCUUGAGGAAGGUGGCUUGAGAUUCGUCUUAAGUGUUUAUAGCCUCUUGCCUAUGCAGUCGGAGAGAUUGAGGUCUGCAGCGUAGAUCCUUCGGGGCUAAAUGCAUUUGUGCUAAGUUAUAGCAUUUUAUAGACAACUUGUUGACUAUGAUUUGUCUUGUAGCUUACUCGCUUAUGUUAUUUUACCUACGCUUAGGAUGUUGAGCGCAUGUCUCUCUCU
RNAcentral lists this ribosomal RNA (774 nucleotides) under uncultured Neocallimastigales. RNAcentral's name for it is "partial large subunit ribosomal RNA". It matches the Rfam family "Eukaryotic large subunit ribosomal RNA", at positions 20 to 616 of the family's 3401-position model. The record is from RNAcentral. Lineage: Eukaryota; Fungi; Neocallimastigomycota; Neocallimastigomycetes; Neocallimastigales.